CGGUGCGGAGCUUACACAUGCAAGUCGAGCGGUAACAGGGGGUGCUUGCACCCCGCUGACGAGCGGCGGACGGGUGAGUAAUGCAUAGGAAUCUGCCCAGUAGUGGGGGAUAGCCCGGGGAAACCCGGAUUAAUACCGCAUACGCCCUUUGGGAGAAAGCAGGGGAUCUUCGGACCUUGCGCUAUUGGAUGAGCCUAUGUCGGAUUAGCUAGUUGGUGGGGUAAAGGCCUACCAAGGCGACGAUCCGUAGCUGGUCUGAGAGGAUGAUCAGCCACAUCGGGACUGAGACACGGCCCGAACUCCUACGGGAGGCAGCAGUGGGGAAUAUUGGACAAUGGGGGCAACCCUGAUCCAGCCAUGCCGCGUGUGUGAAGAAGGCUUUCGGGUUGUAAAGCACUUUCAGUGAGGAGGAAAACCUUCUGGUUAAUACCCAUGAGGCUUGACGUUACUCACAGAAGAAGCACCGGCUAACUCCGUGCCAGCAGCCGCGGUAAUACGGAGGGUGCAAGCGUUAAUCGGAAUUACUGGGCGUAAAGCGCGCGUAGGUGGUUUGAUAAGCGAGAUGUGAAAGCCCCGGGCUUAACCUGGGAACGGCAUUUCGAACUGUCAG
RNAcentral lists this ribosomal RNA (610 nucleotides) under Marinobacter sp. Its description in RNAcentral is "bacterial SSU rRNA". It matches the Rfam family "Bacterial small subunit ribosomal RNA", at positions 40 to 639 of the family's 1533-position model. Lineage: Bacteria; Pseudomonadati; Pseudomonadota; Gammaproteobacteria; Pseudomonadales; Marinobacteraceae. The record is from RNAcentral.